AUCCAGAUGAUGAGCCCCAAAUAGGACGAAAUGCACAUCCUGGAU
Molecule: non-coding RNA, 45 nt
Filed under: Trichobilharzia regenti
Lineage: Eukaryota; Metazoa; Platyhelminthes; Trematoda; Strigeidida; Schistosomatidae
Source: RNAcentral